GGCCCGGUCGUCUAGUGGUUAGGAUGCCGCCCUUUCACGGCGGAGAUCGCGGGUUCGAGUCCCGUCCGGGCUACCA
This 76-nucleotide transfer RNA is filed under the name Armatimonadetes bacterium 55-13. RNAcentral's name for it is "tRNA-Glu". It matches the Rfam family "tRNA". From Rfam's summary of the family: Transfer RNA (tRNA) molecules are approximately 80 nucleotides in length. Their secondary structure includes four short double-helical elements and three loops (D, anti-codon, and T loops). RNAcentral also lists the same sequence under 2 other names. Lineage: Bacteria; Bacillati; Armatimonadota. The record is from RNAcentral.